This 440-nucleotide ribosomal RNA is filed under the name uncultured bacterium. RNAcentral describes it as "partial 16S ribosomal RNA". It matches the Rfam family "Bacterial small subunit ribosomal RNA", at positions 338 to 795 of the family's 1533-position model. The record is from RNAcentral.
CCUACGGGAGGCAGCAGUGGGGAAUAUUGCACAAUGGGGGAAACCCUGAUGCAGCGACGCCGCGUGAGUGAAGAAGUAUCUCGGUACGUAAAGCUCCAUCAGUAGGGAAGUAAAUGACGGUACCUGACUAAGAAGCCCCGGCUAACGACGUGCCAGUAGCCGCGGUAAUACGGAGGGGGCAAGCGUUAUCCGGAUUUACUGGGUGUAAAGGGAGCGUAGACGGCAGCACAAGUCUGGAGUGAAAUCCCGGGGCUUAACCCCGGAACUGCUUUGGAAACUGGGCGGCUGGAGUGCAGGAGGGGUAAGCGGAAUUCCUGGUGUAGCGGUGAAAUGCGUAGAUAUUAGGAAGAACACCGGUGGCGAAGGCAGCUUACUGGACUGUAACUGACGUUGAGGCUCGAAAGCGUGGGGAGCAAACAGGAUUAGAUACCCUUGUAGUC